Molecule: ribosomal RNA, 497 nt
Filed under: uncultured bacterium
Lineage: Bacteria
Description: partial 16S ribosomal RNA
Rfam family: Bacterial small subunit ribosomal RNA
Source: RNAcentral
GAUGAACGCUGGCGGCGUGCCUAAUACAUGCAAGUCGAGCGAACGGACGAGAAGCUUGCUUCUCUGAUGUUAGCGGCGGACGGGUGAGUAACACGUGGAUAACCUACCUAUAAGACUGGGAUAACUUCGGGAAACCGGAGCUAAUACCGGAUAAUAUUUUGAACCGCGUGGUUCAAAAGUGAGAGACGGUCUUGCUGUCACUUAUAGAUGGAUCCGCGCUGCAUUAGCUAGUUGGUAAGGUAACGGCUUACCAAGGCAACGAUGCAUAGCCGACCUGAGAGGGUGAUCGGCCACACUGGAACUGAGACACGGUCCAGACUCCUACGGGAGGCAGCAGUAGGGAAUCUUCCGCAAUGGGCGAAAGCCUGACGGAGCAACGCCGCGUGAGUGAUGAAGGUCUUCGGAUCGUAAAACUCUGUUAUUAGGGAAGAACAGAUGUGUAAGUAACUGUGCACAUCUUGACGGUACCUAAUCAGAAAGCCACGGCUAACUACGUG